CAGCCUAGAGUGUGCAUGUGUAUAUUAAUUUUUUUCCUUUCUAAUUUUUUUUUAGAUGUCACCUAAGAAAGUAGGUAAACAAGGACAAAUAAUUCACAGCCAAGAGAGAGAUUAUUUCUAACUUGGCAGCUUUUAUGAAAAAAGAAGCAGAGCAAGGAAUUACUAUUCCUUUGAAAAAUGUUAGGUAAGUGAACAAUAUAAAUUCAUAUUUUAUUGUAGGAUGUUUUCAAAUUUUAAUUUUUAUUGUAUUGAUAACUUACAAUAAUAGUAUAUAAUUAUUUUAGACAACGUACGUUAGCUGCCACUCGAGUAUCCCAGUCAACUUACAGAAGAGUGGUCCAAGAGUCAGAAGAUAUAGAAAAUAUACCUUCCUGUUCCUUUACCAGUCCAAGGAAAAAAAGGUUAAGAAAAUCUCAGAAGAUUGGUAACAUUACUUUGACCCAAAUUAAAGAUAUAAAACAAAUAGUGUAUGAUUUCUACAUAUUUGAAAAAAGAAGACCUACUCUAAAAUAUGGACCAAAACGGACGAUAACAGAAAAGCUCUUAUGGAAUCUUACGACAUACGAUUGAAAAGGAUCAAAUAUUUAAAGCAAAUUUUUAAAUAUAAAGAGGAAGGCCGUAAUAUUGUAUAUACUGAUGAAAGUUACAUACAUAGCAGUCAUACAAAGGACAAAGGGUGGUUUGAUGAAAGUCGACAUGGAAUUAGAAAACCCAUUUCCAAAGGACAGAGACUGAUAAUUCUUCAUGCUGGGGGAAGAAAUGGUUUCGUAAAUAAUGGGUUACUGAUUUUUCGCUCAGGGUCAAAAAACGGAGACUAUCAUGAUGAUAUGAACCAUCACAACUUCAUGAAAUGGGCCGAAAAUCAGUUAAUUCCAAAUUUACUACCUAAUUCCGUCCUAGUAUUAGACAAUGCAGCUUAUCACAAUGUGCCUGUAGUCAAGAAUGUUACAUCUGGAAGUAAAAAGCAGGAAAUAGUUGACUGGCUCAAGGAACGUAAUUUUACAUUUGAUGCAAAACUCACCAAGACAGAGUUAUAUGAAAUAGUGUCUGAAAAUAAAAAAAAGUAUCCUGUAAAAACCAAGUUGGACGACCUAAUGGAAAAGCAUAAAAGCAUGGACACAUUGUGUUACGUUUGCCUCCAUACCACCCAGAGCUUAAUCCGAUAGAAAAAAUUUGGGCAACUGUUAAGAAUUGGGUGGCAAGCAGAAAUUCCACUUUUAAAUUGGCGGAUGUCGAAACUUUGACAAGGCAGAAAUUUCGAAUGAUGAGUGGAUAAAUAUUUGCAACCAUAUAGACAACAUAGAAAAACAAUAUUUCGAAAGUCAUCACCUUUUUGAUGAAGCAUUGGAUUUUUUAAAAUUUACAGUAAAUACAGGCUCAUCUGAUGAAGAGAUCGAAUGGUCUUCAUCGGAUGAAUCUGAUUUAGGUUAUAAUACACUAUCUGAUAGUGAAUAAAAAUAUAUAAUAUGUAAAAUAAUGAAAUAAAACUUUAAGCUUA
Molecule: long non-coding RNA, 1498 nt
Organism: Anthonomus grandis grandis
Lineage: Eukaryota; Metazoa; Arthropoda; Insecta; Coleoptera; Curculionidae
Exons: 3
Source: RefSeq, a predicted model, not a curated record